GAUGAAGGACGUAGCGAAAUGCGAUAACUAAUGUGAAUUGCAGAAUUCAGUGAAUCAUCGAGUCUUUGAACGCACAUUGCGCCCCCUGGUAUUCCGGGGGGCAUGCCUGUCCGAGCGUCAUUGCUGCCCUCAAGCACGGCUUGUGUGUUGGGCUCCGUCCCCCCGGGGACGGGCCCGAAAGGCAGCGGCGGCACCGAGUCCGGUCCUCGAGCGUAUGGGGCUUUGUCACCCGCUCUGUAGGCCCGGCCGGCGCCAGCCGACAACCCAUCAUCCUUUUCAGGUUGACCUCGGAUCAGGUAGGGAUACCCGCUGAACUUAAGCAUAUCAAUAAGCGGAGGA
RNAcentral lists this unclassified non-coding RNA (339 nucleotides) under soil metagenome. RNAcentral describes it as "partial contains 5.8S ribosomal RNA, internal transcribed spacer 2, and large subunit ribosomal RNA". The stretch from base 1 to 120 matches the Rfam family "5.8S ribosomal RNA", at positions 35 to 154 of the family's 154-position model. The record is from RNAcentral.